RNAcentral lists this ribosomal RNA (440 nucleotides) under uncultured bacterium. RNAcentral describes it as "partial 16S ribosomal RNA". It matches the Rfam family "Bacterial small subunit ribosomal RNA", at positions 338 to 795 of the family's 1533-position model. The record is from RNAcentral.
CCUACGGGAGGCAGCAGUGGGGAAUAUUGCUCAAUGGGGGGAACCCUGACGCAGCGACGCCGCGUGAGUGAUGAAGUUUUUCGGAUUGUAAAGCUCUUUUAGCAGGGAAGAAAAUUACGGUACCUGACUAAUAAUCCCCGGCUAACUCCGUGCCAGCAGCCGCGGUCAUACGGAGGGGGCAAGCGGUAUUCGGAAAUACUGGGUGUAAAGGGAGCGUAGGUGGUGAAGCAAGUCUGAUGUGAAAUUCCGUGGCCCAACCCGAGAACUGCAUUUGAAACUGUUAAUCUGGAGUACGGGAGAGGUAAGUGGAAUUCUUGGUGUAGCGGUGAAAUGCGUAGAUAUCAAGAGGAACACCAGUGGCGAAGGCGACUUGCUGGAAUAUAACUGACGCUGAGGCUCGAAAGCGUGGGGAGCAAACAGGAUUAGAUACCCGAGUAGUC